RNAcentral lists this ribosomal RNA (217 nucleotides) under uncultured bacterium. RNAcentral describes it as "partial 16S ribosomal RNA". It matches the Rfam family "Bacterial small subunit ribosomal RNA", at positions 1286 to 1500 of the family's 1533-position model. The record is from RNAcentral.
UCUCAGUUCGGAUUGUAGUCUGCAACUCGACUACAUGAAGCUGGAAUCGCUAGUAAUCGCGAAUCAGAAUGUCGCGGUGAAUACGUUCCCGGGUCUUGUACACACCGCCCGUCACACCAUGGGAGUCAGUAACGCCCGAAGCCGGUGACCCAACCAAUUCAGGAGGGAGCCGUCGAAGGUGGGACCGAUAACUGGGGUGAAGUCGUAACAAGGUAAC